CGUGAGGAACCUGCCUUUCAGAGGGGGACAACAGUUGGAAACGACUGCUAAUACCGCAUAACGCAUGGGUAUCGCAUGGUAUCUGUGCCAAAGAUUUAUCGCUGAGAGAUGGCCUCGCGUCUGAUUAGCUAGUUGGUGAGGUAACGGCCCACCAAGGCGACGAUCAGUAGCCGGACUGAGAGGUUGGCCGGCCACAUUGGGACUGAGAUACGGCCCAGACUCCUACGGGAGGCAGCAG
RNAcentral lists this ribosomal RNA (238 nucleotides) under uncultured bacterium. RNAcentral's name for it is "partial 16S ribosomal RNA". It matches the Rfam family "Bacterial small subunit ribosomal RNA", at positions 116 to 354 of the family's 1533-position model. The record is from RNAcentral.